UUUUAAUUUUUGCCGCUGAGGGGUUGACCAAGCGAAGCGCGGUAGGUUUUCUGCUUAGGAGUUUAAUCAUGUUUCAGACUUUUAUUUCUCGCCAUAAUUCAAACUUUUUUUCUGAUAAGCUGGUUCUCACUUCUGUUACUCCAGCUUCUUCGGCACCUGUUUUACAGACACCUAAAGCUACAUCGUCAACGUUAUAUUUUGAUAGUUUGACGGUUAAUGCUGGUAAUGGUGGUUUUCUUCAUUGCAUUCAGAUGGAUACAUCUGUCAACGCCGCUAAUCAGGUUGUUUCUGUUG
This 294-nucleotide ribosomal RNA is filed under the name uncultured prokaryote. RNAcentral's name for it is "partial 16S ribosomal RNA". The record is from RNAcentral.